This 253-nucleotide ribosomal RNA is filed under the name uncultured bacterium. RNAcentral's name for it is "partial 16S ribosomal RNA". It matches the Rfam family "Bacterial small subunit ribosomal RNA", at positions 524 to 776 of the family's 1533-position model. The record is from RNAcentral.
UACGGGGGGGGCAAGCGUUGUUCGGAAUUACUGGGCGUAAAGGGCGCGUAGGCGGUUUGCUAAGUUGGAUGUGAAAACUCUGGGCUUAACCCAGAGCCUGCAUCCAAAACUGGCAAACUUGAGUACUGGAGGGGAAAGCGGAAUUCCUGGUGUAGCGGUGAAAUGCGUAGAUAUCAGGAGGAACACCGGUGGCGAAGGCGGCUUUCUGGGCAGUAACUGACGCUGAGGCGCGAAAGCUAGGGGAGCAAACAGG